This 280-nucleotide long non-coding RNA is filed under the name Homo sapiens (human). RNAcentral describes it as "long non-coding RNA NONHSAT208178.1". Lineage: Eukaryota; Metazoa; Chordata; Mammalia; Primates; Hominidae. The record is from RNAcentral.
GUGUGUUCUUUUUAAAUGAUGAGAAGCUGUUGGAGUGACAGGACUUCUUUUCAGCUGCCAAGCUUUUUGUGUUUGCACUUUUCCUUAACGCUUCUUCCAGAUUAGGUUCUCCUUAAAUUCUGUUUGCGGCUGGAAGUGAUCCUAGACACCUCUGGCUCAGCUUCCCAACUCAUGCAGGAGAGGAACCUGAAGCUUAGAUAGAUUAUGGAACUCGCUCGAGAUCAUACAAGAAGUGGCAAUGCUGGGAUUUGAGCCCACGAUUGACAAAGCUUUUAUUCUU